GUAACUUAGAAGAAAACAAUAUGGCUAUUCACAAAGUUGUAUUCCUUGUUCUCCUCCUUUUGUUUGGAACACUUGCACUAGAAAGCUGCAAUGUGGCAACUGCGGCAGAUGAUGAAAAGUCAUGUCCUAGGGAUUGCAUCAGUGAUGCAGCCUGAAUGGUUUGCCCAACUCACCAUGGACGACAUAAGUUAAUUGAAUCCUAUUGUGAUAACUGUUGCACUUUACCUGGAAAUUGCAAACUUUUCAAAGAGAAUGGUGACCUCAUUUGUACGGGAACUGAUUAUUAGCUGUCCAUGUGGACUAGCUAAGUUAAUUAAAUAUUUACUACUACUAUGUAAUAAGGCUUGAUCAGGUUAUAUGAUCCUCAGAGGAUCUCUCAUGUGUCAUGGAAUUUAAUAUUCCUUGACUAAGCUUUUACAAGAGCUAAAAAGUCAUUAAUCAUCUUAUAUAUUA
Capsicum annuum is the source of this 453-nucleotide long non-coding RNA. RefSeq lists it as uncharacterized. The record is from RefSeq and is a predicted model, not a curated record. Lineage: Eukaryota; Viridiplantae; Streptophyta; Magnoliopsida; Solanales; Solanaceae. The transcript has 2 exons.